UGGGGAAUCUUGCGCAAUGGGCGAAAGCCUGACGCAGCGACGCCGCGUGAGGGAAGAAGGCCUUCGGGUUGUAAACCUCUUUCAGGAGGGACGAAGCUACUCGGGUGAAUAGCCCAGAGGGUGACGGUACCUCCAGAAGAAGCCCCGGCUAACUACGUGCCAGCAGCCGCGGUAAUACGUAGGGGGCAAGCGUUGUCCGGAUUUACUGGGCGUAAAGCGCGUGUAGGCGGCCGAGCAGGUCUGUUGUGAAAACUGGAGGCUCAACCUCCAGACGUCGACAGAAACCGCACGGCUAGAGUCCGGAAGAGGAGAGUGGAAUUCCUGGUGUAGCGGUGAAAUGCGCAGAUAUCAGGAAGAACACCAAUGGCGAAGGCAGCUCUCUGGGACGGUACUGACGCUGAGACGCGAAAGCGUGGGGAGCGAACAGG
This 428-nucleotide ribosomal RNA is filed under the name uncultured bacterium. Its description in RNAcentral is "bacterial SSU rRNA". It matches the Rfam family "Bacterial small subunit ribosomal RNA", at positions 355 to 776 of the family's 1533-position model. The record is from RNAcentral.